GUGCAGCUGAUGACAGUUUGAAAGAAGGAUGAGCAGGCUCUCUGCCAUCUGCCCACCAACUUUUCAAGUUACUUUUACCCACCUUCAAAAUUACAUCUGCUUUUAGCAAGAAUUACUGAUGUGAUAAAGAUGGGAGUGUUCACCAUGCAAGGGCAGGGGAUCCCCUGCUGCUCCACCAUCAGAUUUGGGACACCACCCCCCCCCCGGCCCCACCAGAGGGCAUCAGCUAUGCCUAGAAGGGGACCACAACAGACUCGACAGGAUCCACCGGUUGGGCCCAAGGCAGGAGGAAGGGCGGCGCCCCCAAACUCCCAGGACGCCUGCAGCACCCCCCACGCGCCGCUCUCCGCCUCUGGGGAGCAUCCUGCCACCCCCCGACACACACACCCCGGCUACAUCCCGCCUUCUCACGCUUGGUCAGGCGCUCUGGAGAUGUCGGAGAUCCAGGCUUUUCCUAAAGAGUCAGGAUUGGAAGGCGGACUCCCACCGUUUGCUGAGCUCCACAUGACAACAGCAGACGACAGGCCGCACUGAUCCCACCUGGCUUACAGGUGCUGUCACACAGGUACGCCUUCUUGUGAAUCAUCAGUCACCAUUUGCCCCUCGCAGCAACCCUGUCUUGGAGGAAGGUCCUUGCCGACACCCGCCUCUCCCCACCCUUAGGCUCCCUUGCUCCUUCAUUCAACCAUUGUUUACAUGUCGUUCAGGACUGCUGACUAAACACUUUCAAGCACAGUGGACCCUUGAACAACGCAGGUUCAAACUGUGCAGGUCCACCCACAGGGAUGUUUUUCAAUCAGAGUUAUACCAAGUGUCCCUGCCUCUCCUGCCUCCCUUCCCACUUCCUCCAUGUCUUCCUCUCUGCCACCCUGAGGCAGCAAGACCAGCCCCUCCUCCUCAGCCACUCAACAUGAAGACAACGAGGAUGAAGACUUCUAUGAUAAUCCACUUCCACUUAGUAAAUGCUUUCUCUUAUGAUAUUCUUAAUGACAUUUUAUUUUCCCAAGCUUAGUUUAUUGUAAGAAUACAGUAUAAAUACACAUACAAA
Molecule: long non-coding RNA, 1048 nt
Filed under: Homo sapiens (human)
Lineage: Eukaryota; Metazoa; Chordata; Mammalia; Primates; Hominidae
Description: long independently transcribed non-coding RNA 3034 (LINC03034)
Source: RNAcentral